AGUGAACGCUGGCGGUAGGCCUAACACAUGCAAGUCGAACGGCAGCACAGUAAGAGCUUGCUCUUACGGGUGGCGAGUGGCGGACGGGUGAGGAAUACAUCGGAAUCUACUUUUUCGUGGGGGAUAACGUAGGGAAACUUACGCUAAUACCGCAUACGACCUACGGGUGAAAGCAGGGGAUCUUCGGACCUUGCGCGAUUGAAUGAGCCGAUGUCGGAUUAGCUAGUUGGCGGGGUAAAGGCCCACCAAGGCGACGAUCCGUAGCUGGUCUGAGAGGAUGAUCAGCCACACUGGAACUGAGACACGCUCCAGACUCCUACGGGAGGCAGCAGUGGGGAAUAUUAGACAAUGGGCGCAAGCCUGAUCCAGCCAUACCGCGUGGGUGAAGAAGGCCUUCGAGUUGUAAAGCCCUUUUGUUGGGAAAGAAAAGCAGCAGGUUAAUACCCCGCUGUUCUGACGGUACCCAAAGAAUAAGCACCGGCUAACUUCGUG
This 492-nucleotide ribosomal RNA is filed under the name uncultured bacterium. RNAcentral's name for it is "partial 16S ribosomal RNA". It matches the Rfam family "Bacterial small subunit ribosomal RNA", at positions 29 to 507 of the family's 1533-position model. The record is from RNAcentral.